CUACGGGAUGCAGCAGUGGGGAAUAUUGGACAAUGGGGGAAACCCUGAUCCAGCAAUGCCGCGUGUGUGAAGAAGGCCUGCGGGUUGUAAAGCACUUUCGGUUGGGAGGACUGCUUCUAGCACUAAUAUUGUUGGAAGUUGACGUUACCUUCAGAAGAAGCACCGGCUAACUCCGUGCCAGCAGCCGCGGUAAUACGGAGGGUGCAAGCUUUAAUCGGAAUUACUGGGCGUAAAGCGCGCGUAGGCGGCUAGAUCAGUCGGGUGUGAAAGCCCCGGGCUUAACCUGGGAACUGCAUCCGAUACUGGCUAGCUUGAGUACAGGAGGGGAGAGUGGAAUUCCACAUGUAGCGGUGACAUGCGUAGAUAUGUGGAGGAACACCAAUGGCGAAGGCAGCUCUCUGGCCUGAUACUGACGCUGAGGUGCGAAAGCGUGGGGAGCAAACAGGAUUAGAUACCCGCGUAGUC
RNAcentral lists this ribosomal RNA (465 nucleotides) under uncultured bacterium. Its description in RNAcentral is "partial 16S ribosomal RNA". It matches the Rfam family "Bacterial small subunit ribosomal RNA", at positions 339 to 795 of the family's 1533-position model. The record is from RNAcentral.